This 548-nucleotide ribosomal RNA is filed under the name uncultured bacterium. RNAcentral's name for it is "bacterial SSU rRNA". It matches the Rfam family "Bacterial small subunit ribosomal RNA", at positions 353 to 896 of the family's 1533-position model. The record is from RNAcentral.
AGUGGGGAAUAUUGCGCAAUGGGGGGAACCCUGACGCAGCCAUGCCGCGUGAAUGAAGAAGGCCUUAGGGUUGUAAAGUUCUUUCGGUAUUGAGGAAGGUUGAUGUGUUAAUAGACAUCAAAUUGACGUUAAAUACAGAAGAAGCACCGGCUAACUCCGUGCCAGCAGCCGCGGUAAUACGGAGGGUGCGAGCGUUAAUCGGAAUAACUGGGCGUAAAGGGCACGCAGGCGGUUAUUUAAGUGAGGUGUGAAAGCCCCGGGCUUAACCUGGGAAUUGCAUUUCAGACUGGGUAACUAGAGUACUUUAGGGAGGGGUAGAAUUCCACGUGUAGCGGUGAAAUGCGUAGAGAUGUGGAGGAAUACCGAAGGCGAAGGCAGCCCCUUGGGAAUGUACUGACGCUCAUGUGCGAAAGCGUGGGGAGCAAACAGGAUUAGAUACCCUGGUAGUCCACGCUGUAAACGCUGUCGAUUUGGGGGUUGGGGUUUAACUCUGGCGCCCGUAGCUAACGUGAUAAAUCGACCGCCUGGGGAGUACGGCCGCAAGGUUA